Molecule: ribosomal RNA, 407 nt
Filed under: uncultured bacterium
Lineage: Bacteria
Description: partial 16S ribosomal RNA
Rfam family: Bacterial small subunit ribosomal RNA
Source: RNAcentral
AUUGAACGCUGGCGGCAGGCCUAACACAUGCAAGUCGAGCGGAGCGGCGGACGGGUGAGUAAUGCCUAGGAAUCUGCCUGGUAGUGGGGGAUAACGUCCGGCAACGGGCGCUAAUACCGCAUCCUAUCAGAUGAGCCUAGGUCGGAUUAGCUAGUUGGUGGGGUAAAGGCCUACCAAGGCGACGAUCCGUAACUGGUCUGAGAGGAAGAUCAGUCACACUGGAACUGAGAAACGGUCCAGACUCCUACGGGAGGCAGCAGGGGGGAAGAUUGGAAAAUGGGCGAAAGCCUGAUCCAGCAAUGCCGCGUGUGUGAAGAAGGUCUUCGGAUUGUAAAGCACUGUAAGUUGGGAGGCGGGACCAAAAGAAUAAGCACCGGCUAACUUCGUGCCAGCAGCCGCGGUAAUUG